Molecule: long non-coding RNA, 902 nt
Organism: Oncorhynchus tshawytscha (Chinook salmon)
Lineage: Eukaryota; Metazoa; Chordata; Actinopteri; Salmoniformes; Salmonidae
Source: Ensembl
AGAACACCAGGCAGCCAUCUUGGGGCUGAAGAGACAUCAGAGAGAAGAAGUCGGCCAACUUCAGGAGGAGUCAGUGCUGAAAACAGUGAAGCUGAAAGAGGAGCACGUCAAUGUGAUCCAGCAGUUAGAACAGACCAUUGAGGACCUGCGGACUAAGAUAGCUGAGCUGGAGGAACAGCACCCCUGCUGGACAGAGAUAUUAUUAGCAUUAAGGAGCCGGAGGCUAGUGUGGAGGGGGUCUGUACCGGGAGGUCUGUCAUGUAGACCUACAGACUGAAGAGAGGAUGGUGAAGGAGGUCUGUCAUGUAGACCUACAGACUGAAGAGAGGAUGGUGAAGGAGGUCUGUCAUGUAGACCUACAGACUGAAGAGAGGAUGGUGAAGGAGGUCUGUCAUGUAGACCUACAGACUGAAGAGAGGAUGGUGAAGGAGGUUUGUCAUGUAGACCAACAGACUGACUGUCUCCUGAGUUGUCUGGAGGCCAAGUCUGUCCAGACGUCGCCUAUGGAGGAAAGCUAUAAGUUUAAAGUGCCUUUACCGGACCAGAUGCCACCCUUGUUUGUGAACGAGGCUGGAGGAGAGUCCUCUUUGUCUUCCUCCUGUCCCCUGAAACUCCCCCCAGAACUGGCCCUGUCCCUACCCAUACCCUUCUCCCCCAAGGUCGCACCAGCAUUUGUCUGUACGUGCCAACAGCAGCAGAGUGGCAUUAAACCUCCCCCACCACCUCCUUUACCUGGUCACUCCAUGGCUCCUCCUCCACCACCACCUCUACCAGGGGGUGCAAUGCCCCCACCACCUCCACCACCACCUCUACCAGGGGGUGCAAUGCCCCCACCACCUCCACCACCUCCUCUACCAGGGGGUGCAAUGCCUCCACCACCUCCUCCACCUCCUCUACCAGGG